UACUUUUCCUCAUUUUUUAAACUUCCUAACAGGCCAUAAGUCUAAAGUGGAAAUUCAAUGCAGGCAAAGAUAUAUCUGCAACACAAGCAAUUUUCAAUGGUACCCUUUAUUUUCCAAGCUGGAAUGGCUAUAUCUAUGCAAUCAAAGAGUCUGAUGGGUCUCUUGUUUGGGAGAAGAACUUGCAAGAGUUAACUGGCCUUAAUGCAACUGGGUUUGUACCUAAGGUCAAUUGGACAGUAUCAAGAUCAACACCAACUAUAGCUGAUGACCUCCUGAUCAUUGGAAUCUAUGGACCAGCUGUGGUUAUUGCUGUUGAAAGAUCAACUGGGAAGCUUGUUUAGUCAACCCAGCUUGACAGCCAUGCCGCUGGACUUAUCACCAUGUCAGGAACUUAUUACAAAGGUAAUAGGCCGGUCUCCUUCAAACUCAAGAUGGGUGUGAGACCAACUUGAGGUUGUCAACCAAAGCACGAAGGCGGACCAUUAGGAUGUGAUUUGGUGAAGAUAUUUGCAAGUUGAUCUUUAGAGGAGGGACCGAGAACAGCUUGAGAGCACCAUGACCAAGAUGAUAACGGAUAAAAUGACAAUUGAUCUCGAUGUAUUUAAUUAGUCCGUUCAUAAAAGAUAUCAUUGUGAGCAAUAUGAAUGAUACUCUGAUUUUCACAAUAAAGAAGAGUAGCAGAGGAUGUGGACUCACCUAAGUCCUUAAGAAGCCAUCAUAACCAAAGGAAUUCAGAUAUGGUAUUAGCAAGAGCACAAUAUUCUGUUUCAGUAGAUAUUUUAUUUUAGUUAAUAGAAGAUAAAUAAAGCUGGUAUGAUAUAUAUAUAUAUA
This is a long non-coding RNA of Quercus lobata, 831 nucleotides long. RefSeq lists it as uncharacterized. The transcript is spliced from 2 exons. NCBI's taxonomy places the organism in Eukaryota, Viridiplantae, Streptophyta, Magnoliopsida, Fagales, Fagaceae. The record is from RefSeq and is a predicted model, not a curated record.